This is a non-coding RNA of Manis javanica (Malayan pangolin), 1128 nucleotides long. The record is from RefSeq and is a predicted model, not a curated record. NCBI's taxonomy places the organism in Eukaryota, Metazoa, Chordata, Mammalia, Pholidota, Manidae.
UAGACGCGCAUAUGCACUAGCGGCGCACGCGGGCACCCGCCCUGCUUGGAGCUGCCUCCCUCCCGAUCUGUAGACUGAGCUCCCGCCCGCGCCCGGCGACGGCACAGCGCCGGGGACGCGGGAGCCUGGCCUUCCCGUGCGUGUGCAUGAAUGGCAUCACUCUAGGUGGGAUUCUCAGUGUGACAGUUCUGCUAGGAGCAUCUUGUUCCUCACCUGGAUGCCCACAGCCUCCUCCUGCUUCUAGGAAUUGGAGGGCCAUACUCACGUCGCCACUGCUUCUUCAGCCCAGGUCCUGGAAUAACAAGCAGACCGGAGAAAAUGAGGCUGACCUGAAAACCUGAGCCCAGCCAAGUCCAGCCAGAGAUCUGGGGCACAUCUAUGGCUGCACCUGCAUCUAGAAUCAAGGAGAAUAUGACUUCCUGGAACAUGAAAACUAUAAUAGUCAUCUUCAAAUUUCUACUAUUUAUGAGAGUGCCUAAAAUGGUCCAGUGUACAGUAGUUCCAAGAAGGCAAAGAUGAGAAACUCUGGUCCUAAGAACUCUAAACCUCAGGAGACAAGAUACUAUGGGCUGCAGAGAAGGGGCACUUACUUAUUUUGGCGUGUGGAUGGAGAUGAAGGUGGGUGUUGGCCAUGGAAGACUUAACAGAAAAGAAACAUAAAGAGUAAGUAGAAGGCUAUGGUGAAAUAUAAGAGUAUAAAAGCAAUGUUGAAAAGGAAUUUAGAGUUUCCUCUCUAUAACCUUUUGGCUAUAAAGAAACUGAUGCCCUCACAGGCUGUGAUCAGCCCAGUGGCACAGGUGGAGCAGGACACAGGUUUCUGAGAAGAGAACCCACUAUGCUCUACACACCGUGCGAAUGCUUUACUUUCAUCUUCCAUACCCUCUCCUCGACUCUCCUUUGACAAACAAGGAGCCUGAAGGUCCAGAUGCGUGAAGUGAUUUGCCCAAGUGAAGCAACUGUCUAUUAAAUGGCAGAAUCCAGAUCAGAGCUGGCCUCAAAGCCUUAGGUCCCUGAAUGGGGAGACAUUCCUCAGGUUUUCGAAAUUGAAGAUUUAGUUUUCUUUCCAUGUACCCACACUGCUUUACAAUUUAUAAAAUAUCAAAUUAAAACCAGAGCGUUCCCUGUAUU